AUUGAACGCUGGCGGCAGGCCUAACACAUGCAAGUCGAACGGUAGCAGGAAGAAGCUUGCUUCUUCGCUGACGAGUGGCGGACGGGUGAGUAAUGUCUGGGAAACUGCCUGAUGGAGGGGGAUAACUACUGGAAACGGUAGCUAAUACCGCAUAACGUCGCAAGACCAAAGAGGGGGACCUUCGGGCCUCUUGCCAUCGGAUGUGCCCAGAUGGGAUUAGCUUGUUGGUGGGGUAACGGCUCACCAAGGCGACGAUCCCUAGCUGGUCUGAGAGGAUGACCAGCCACACUGGAACUGAGACACGGUCCAGACUCCUACGGGAGGCAGCAGUGGGGAAUAUUGCACAAUGGGCGCAAGCCUGAUGCAGCCAUGCCGCGUGUAUGAAGAAGGCCUUCGGGCUGUAAAGUACUUUCAGCGGGGAGGAAGGGAGUAAAGUUAAUACCUUUGCUCAUUGACGUUACCCGCAGAAGAAGCACCGGCUAACUCCGUG
RNAcentral lists this ribosomal RNA (490 nucleotides) under uncultured bacterium. Its description in RNAcentral is "partial 16S ribosomal RNA". It matches the Rfam family "Bacterial small subunit ribosomal RNA", at positions 30 to 507 of the family's 1533-position model. The record is from RNAcentral.